UUUCAUGAUGAACACACAGACGGAAACCUUCAAUUGGUGAAACUCUCGUUGGUAAUUUCUAUUCCGUCGGAAUCACCAACAGAAUAUUCCAUCAGGAUAAUCUGAGUAA
This 109-nucleotide small RNA is filed under the name Salix viminalis (osier). The record is from RNAcentral. Lineage: Eukaryota; Viridiplantae; Streptophyta; Magnoliopsida; Malpighiales; Salicaceae.